AGGUAUUAUCACCCUCAUUCAUUCUGUCUGAUAGCUCUUAUUAUCAGCAAACUACAGAUAUGACUUGUCCCUAUAACUUCCAUGCGCUUUUGCAGUUUGGGUAUUCUCUUAUGCUAUCACUUCCUGGUUUGAGUAACAAUGAGUUGAGUUGUUUUUGGCUAGUCUUGGGAAACUCUAAGGCCACUCAAACAUUGUUGUGUGAACUCGAUGUAACUGUACUAUUUUUGCAUGUAACUAGGUCAAUUCAAGUUUUACCACUCUGAUAAGUGAUAUUGCUUUGUAAAAUUGAGGGGUUUGUUUAACCUGUAAGAAAUGUAUAAAGAUAGCACGUUGUGCAUGAAUGAACCUGUAAGAAAUGUAUAAAGAUAGCACGUUGUGCAUGAAUGAACUUAAGUAGAGACUCAUCAAUUGGCUUGUCAAUUGCUUGAGUGAGCGGAUUACUUUCUGACCGAGAAAAAAAGAGUGGAUUACUUUGCUUAAAUAAUACAGAGAAUUUUUCUAGAAAUUAGGUUCAAAGAUUGUGAAAAUUUUAUGCUUGUUAUUGCUAUACAUCUUAUUUAAGUUUUUCUAUCUUGACCAUUGCAGAUCCAUGGACUCUUCACCUUGUUUGAUACAGAUCAUGAUGGGAAGAUCAGCAAGGCCGAUUUGAUCGCCUGCUUAAGAAGAUAUCCUUUGUUGAUUGCCCUUUUCUCACCUUGUUUAUUGCAACAAACUUGCCCAUAGCUGGUCUAUUGUACGGAGAAGUGAACUAAGUUGAUGGACAUAGGCACCAUUAAUGGUAGAGAAUCCUUUUUUGGCCUUCUACCAGUGUUGUGAACUACUAAUAUAUCUCAGAAAUUUUGUUGCUUAGAUUAGUGUAUUUAUCCUUACAAACAUGGCUUGGGUGUUAAUAUGCCAUUUGAAUGGUAAAGCUCUUAGGCCUAGAGUUCUAGUGCCUUGGCUUUUCUUUUUUAAAUUUUGGUUCAAUUUCUCAAUAGAAGUGAAAGUAAAAGCUAGCUUC
RNAcentral lists this long non-coding RNA (1000 nucleotides) under Nicotiana tabacum (common tobacco). RNAcentral describes it as "long non-coding RNA (NTAB_LNC003309)". The record is from RNAcentral. Lineage: Eukaryota; Viridiplantae; Streptophyta; Magnoliopsida; Solanales; Solanaceae.